This 387-nucleotide ribosomal RNA is filed under the name uncultured beta proteobacterium. RNAcentral describes it as "bacterial SSU rRNA". It matches the Rfam family "Bacterial small subunit ribosomal RNA", at positions 531 to 916 of the family's 1533-position model. Lineage: Bacteria; Pseudomonadati; Pseudomonadota; Betaproteobacteria. The record is from RNAcentral.
GGUGCGAGCGUUAAUCGGAAUUACUGGGCGUAAAGCGUGCGCAGGCGGUUUGGUAAGACAGAUGUGAAAUCCCCGGGCUUAACCCGGGAACUGCAUUUGUGACUGCCAGACUAGAGUGUAGCAGAGGGGGGUAGAAUUCCACGUGUAGCAGUGAAAUGCGUAGAGAUGUGGAGGAAUACCGAUGGCGAAGGCAGCCCCCUGGGCUAACACUGACGCUCAUGCACGAAAGCGUGGGGAGCAAACAGGAUUAGAUACCCUGGUAGUCCACGCCCUAAACGAUGUCAACUAGGUGUUGGGGAAGGAGACUUCUUUAGUACCGCAGCUAACGCGUGAAGUUGACCGCCUGGGGAGUACGGUCGCAAGAUUAAAACUCAAAGGAAUUGACGG